RNAcentral lists this ribosomal RNA (2785 nucleotides) under Vibrio cholerae. RNAcentral's name for it is "partial 23S ribosomal RNA". It matches the Rfam family "Bacterial large subunit ribosomal RNA". Lineage: Bacteria; Pseudomonadati; Pseudomonadota; Gammaproteobacteria; Vibrionales; Vibrionaceae. The record is from RNAcentral.
GGUUAAGUGACUAAGCGUACACGGUGGAUGCCUGGGCAGUCAGAGGCGAUGAAGGACGUACUAACUUGCGAUAAGCGCAGAUAAGGCAGUAAGAGCCGUUUGAGUCUGCGAUUUCCGAAUGGGGAAACCCAACUGCAUAAGCAGUUACUGUUAACUGAAUACAUAGGUUAACAGAGCAAACCGGGGGAACUGAAACAUCUAAGUACCCCGAGGAGAAGAAAUCAACCGAGAUUCCGGUAGUAGCGGCGAGCGAACCUGGAUUAGCCCUUAAGCACUCGGUGAAGUAGGUGAACAAGCUGGAAAGCUUGGCGAUACAGGGUGAUAGCCCCGUAACCGACGCUUCAUCGAGCGUGAAAUCGAGUAGGGCGGGACACGUGAUAUCCUGUCUGAAUAUGGGGGGACCAUCCUCCAAGGCUAAAUACUCCUGACUGACCGAUAGUGAACCAGUACCGUGAGGGAAAGGCGAAAAGAACCCCUGUGAGGGGAGUGAAAUAGAACCUGAAACCGUGUACGUACAAGCAGUAGGAGCACCUUCGUGGUGUGACUGCGUACCUUUUGUAUAAUGGGUCAGCGACUUAUAUUCAGUGGCAAGGUUAACCGUAUAGGGGAGCCGUAGCGAAAGCGAGUCUUAACUGGGCGCUCAGUCUCUGGAUAUAGACCCGAAACCGGGUGAUCUAGCCAUGGGCAGGUUGAAGGUUGAGUAACAUCAACUGGAGGACCGAACCGACUAAUGUUGAAAAAUUAGCGGAUGACUUGUGGCUAGGGGUGAAAGGCCAAUCAAACUCGGAGAUAGCUGGUUCUCCCCGAAAGCUAUUUAGGUAGCGCCUCGGACGAAUACUACUGGGGGUAGAGCACUGUUAAGGCUAGGGGGUCAUCCCGACUUACCAACCCUUUGCAAACUCCGAAUACCAGUAAGUACUAUCCGGGAGACACACGGCGGGUGCUAACGUCCGUCGUGGAGAGGGAAACAACCCAGACCGCCAGCUAAGGUCCCAAAGUAUUGCUAAGUGGGAAACGAUGUGGGAAGGCUCAGACAGCUAGGAUGUUGGCUUAGAAGCAGCCAUCAUUUAAAGAAAGCGUAAUAGCUCACUAGUCGAGUCGGCCUGCGCGGAAGAUGUAACGGGGCUAAGCAAUACACCGAAGCUGCGGCAAUGUCUUUUAGACAUUGGGUAGGGGAGCGUUCUGUAAGCCGUUGAAGGUGAAUCGUAAGGUUUGCUGGAGGUAUCAGAAGUGCGAAUGCUGACAUGAGUAACGACAAAGGGGGUGAAAAACCUCCUCGCCGGAAGACCAAGGGUUCCUGUCCAACGUUAAUCGGGGCAGGGUGAGUCGACCCCUAAGGUGAGGCCGAAAGGCGUAAUCGAUGGGAAACGGGUUAAUAUUCCCGUACUUCUGACUAUUGCGAUGGGGGGACGGAGAAGGCUAGGUGGGCCAGGCGACGGUUGUCCUGGUUCAAGUGCGUAGGCUUGAGAGUUAGGUAAAUCCGGCUCUCUUUAAGGCUGAGACACGACGUCGAGCUGCUACGGCAGUGAAGUCAUUGAUGCCAUGCUUCCAGGAAAAGCCUCUAAGCUUCAGAUAGUCAGGAAUCGUACCCCAAACCGACACAGGUGGUCGGGUAGAGAAUACCAAGGCGCUUGAGAGAACUCGGGUGAAGGAACUAGGCAAAAUGGUACCGUAACUUCGGGAGAAGGUACGCUCUUGAUGGUGAAGUCCCUCGCGGAUGGAGCUGACGAGAGUCGCAGAUACCAGGUGGCUGCAACUGUUUAUUAAAAACACAGCACUGUGCAAAAUCGCAAGAUGACGUAUACGGUGUGACGCCUGCCCGGUGCCGGAAGGUUAAUUGAUGGGGUUAGCGCAAGCGAAGCUCUUGAUCGAAGCCCCGGUAAACGGCGGCCGUAACUAUAACGGUCCUAAGGUAGCGAAAUUCCUUGUCGGGUAAGUUCCGACCUGCACGAAUGGCGUAAUGAUGGCCACGCUGUCUCCACCCGAGACUCAGUGAAAUUGAAAUCGCUGUGAAGAUGCAGUGUACCCGCGGCUAGACGGAAAGACCCCGUGAACCUUUACUACAGCUUGGCACUGAACAUUGAACCUACAUGUGUAGGAUAGGUGGGAGGCUAUGAAGACGUGACGCCAGUUGCGUUGGAGCCGUCCUUGAAAUACCACCCUUGUAUGUUUGAUGUUCUAACUUAGACCCAUUAUCUGGGUUGAGGACAGUGCCUGGUGGGUAGUUUGACUGGGGCGGUCUCCUCCCAAAGAGUAACGGAGGAGCACGAAGGUGGGCUAAUCACGGUUGGACAUCGUGAGGUUAGUGCAAUGGCAUAAGCCCGCUUAACUGCGAGAAUGACGGUUCGAGCAGGUGCGAAAGCAGGUCAUAGUGAUCCGGUGGUUCUGUAUGGAAGGGCCAUCGCUCAACGGAUAAAAGGUACUCCGGGGAUAACAGGCUGAUACCGCCCAAGAGUUCAUAUCGACGGCGGUGUUUGGCACCUCGAUGUCGGCUCAUCACAUCCUGGGGCUGAAGUCGGUCCCAAGGGUAUGGCUGUUCGCCAUUUAAAGUGGUACGCGAGCUGGGUUUAGAACGUCGUGAGACAGUUCGGUCCCUAUCUGCCGUGGGCGUUGGAAGAUUGAAGGGGGCUGCUCCUAGUACGAGAGGACCGGAGUGGACGAACCUCUGGUGUUCGGGUUGUGUCGCCAGACGCAUUGCCCGGUAGCUAAGUUCGGAAUUGAUAAGCGCUGAAAGCAUCUAAGCGCGAAGCGAGCCCUGAGAUGAGUCUUCCCUGACAGUUUAACU